RNAcentral lists this ribosomal RNA (482 nucleotides) under uncultured bacterium. RNAcentral's name for it is "partial 16S ribosomal RNA". It matches the Rfam family "Bacterial small subunit ribosomal RNA", at positions 30 to 507 of the family's 1533-position model. The record is from RNAcentral.
AUUGAACGCUGGCGGCAUGCUUUACACAUGCGAGUCGAACGGCAGCGCGGGGCAACCUGGCGGCGAGUGGCGAACGGGUGAGUAAUACAUCGGAACGUACCCAGAAGUGGGGGAUAACGUAGCGAAAGUUACGCUAAUACCGCAUACGUUCUACGGAAGAAAGUGGGGGACCUUCGGGCCUCAUGCUUUUGGAGCGGCCGAUGUCUGAUUAGCUAGUUGGUGAGGUAAAGGCUCACCAAGGCGACGAUCAGUAGCUGGUCUGAGAGGACGACCAGCCACACUGGGACUGAGACACGGCCCAGACUCCUACGGGAGGCAGCAGUGGGGAAUUUUGGACAAUGGGCGCAAGCCUGAUCCAGCAAUGCCGCGUGAGUGAAGAAGGCCUUCGGGUUGUAAAGCUCUUUUGUCAGGGAAGAAACGGCUGAGGAUAAUACCUUCGGCUAAUGACGGUACCUGAAGAAUAAGCACCGGCUAACUACGUG